Molecule: unclassified non-coding RNA, 709 nt
Filed under: Hevea brasiliensis (rubber tree)
Lineage: Eukaryota; Viridiplantae; Streptophyta; Magnoliopsida; Malpighiales; Euphorbiaceae
Source: RNAcentral
GAGCAAGCUUGGUUAAUUUCACAGGUAACUAAAUUAUAGUACAUCCUAAACGUAAAUUUUCCUAGGGUUUUCAAUUAUUAUGAAUAUGUUUCUUUGAGUAAAUAAUGAAUUGAAAUUAACAAGAGAAUGAAAGCAAAUACAGAAAAAAAAAAUUCCUAGCUUGAUAAUCCUACAGUGGUGUUCUGCCAGUUGCAAGCUGGAUUUAAGAGGAAUGCUAUUACUAUGUUGAAGAAAUGAAUAGAUAAGAUGACUAUGGGUCUGGUUGGUGGUGUUGUUAGAGCUGCUAUGAGGAAUAACAAGAUCUUAAAUGUAUUAAUUAGAGGUAUUAGAAAUUAAUUUAAAAUUAAAUUUGAUAUGUUUUAGUCAUGAAAAUUCUAAGACAACUAACCAACUUUUUCAGUGGCAUCGAAAAUAGUGGUUUUUCUAAAAACCCGCUUUUUUGGACUUCCAACCUCAACCCCAAUUGGGGCUUUCAUAGUUUCUAUCUGGAUGUUUAACCGCUCUCCUUCUUAGUUUAUUUGCAUGGUCAUCUGAAAGUUAGAAGUUGUAUCGCUUAUUUUCAACCAAUUUCCUAUUAUUUGUUUUCUGAAGUGUUGGAACUUGUACUACAGUUUUAUUCUAAUGAGUAGUGUAAAAAUUAUAUCUUUUUUACAUAUGCUGGUCUGACUUAUGUUGCCUGUUUCAAGAUCUUGGCAAUGCGUCACCCGAG